CCCAGGCACCCUGGCCUGUGCCUGUAGUCCCAGCUAUUUUGGAGGCUGAGGCUGGAGGAUCUCUUGAGUCCAGGAGUUCUGGGCUGUAGUGCGCUAUGCUGAUUGGGUGUCUGCACUAAGUUCAACAUCAAUAUGGUGACCUCCCAGGAAUGGCAGACCAGCAGGUUGCCUAAGGAAAGGUGAAACGGCCCAGGUCGGAAGCAGAGCAGGUCAAAACUCCCAUGCUGAUCAGUAGUGAGAUUGUGCCUGUGAAUAUCCACUGCCCUCCAGCCUGGGCAACAUAGCGAGACCCCAUCUCU
This 299-nucleotide signal recognition particle RNA is filed under the name Saimiri boliviensis boliviensis (Bolivian squirrel monkey). RNAcentral describes it as "Metazoan signal recognition particle RNA (ENSSBOG00000002256.1)". It matches the Rfam family "Metazoan signal recognition particle RNA". From Rfam's summary of the family: The signal recognition particle (SRP) is a universally conserved ribonucleoprotein. Lineage: Eukaryota; Metazoa; Chordata; Mammalia; Primates; Cebidae. The record is from RNAcentral.